This 482-nucleotide ribosomal RNA is filed under the name uncultured bacterium. RNAcentral describes it as "partial 16S ribosomal RNA". It matches the Rfam family "Bacterial small subunit ribosomal RNA", at positions 28 to 523 of the family's 1533-position model. The record is from RNAcentral.
GACGAACGCUGGCGGCGUGCUUAACACAUGCAAAUCGAACGAUGAAACCUAGCUUGCUAGGUCGAUUAGUGGCGAACGGGUGAGUAACACGUGACUAACCUGCCCCUUUCUCUGGGAUAACGCUCCGAAAGGAGUGCUAAUACCGGAUACUCACACCUAGGCACCUGCCUUGGUGUGGAAAGUUUUCCGGAAAGGGAGGGAGUCGCGGCCUAUCAGCUUGUUGGUGGGGUAACGGCUCACCAAGGCGACGACGGGUAGCCGGCCUGGGAGGGCGACCGGCCACACUGGGACUGAGACACGGCCCAGACUCCUACGGGAGGCAGCAGUGGGGAAUAUUGCACAAUGGGCGCAAGCCUGAUGCAGCAACGCCGCGUGAGGGAUGACGGCCUUCGGGUUGUAAACCUCUUUUAGUAGGGAGGAAGCGAAAGUGACGGUACCUGCAGAAAAAGCACCGGCUAACUACGUGCCAGCAGCCGCCGUAA